GGAAAUAUUCAUGCAAUCACUUCUUGCUCGGAUAAUAGAACAUUGUAAACCUCUAACUGCAAAUACGGACCAAAAUGAAUAAAAUUCGAAAGCACGUAUGAUCACGUUUCAUGCCGAUUGAUGGAGAAAGAUGUUGACUAUGAAUCAAAAAUUCAAAACAGAGGACUUUUAUAUAUAUAUCAACAAAACCACUUGCAGUACAUGCACAUGUAUGAUUGAUAUACAUACAGCAGGAAAACAGUAAUCAAAUAGAGAGUCAACAACGAGUAAUGUCGAAAGCAAAAUUAUUUUGUUAAUACAAAACAAUAUGACUAGAAUAUAUUAAGGUACACAACACAUACUGGAGGAUGAAAAUUUUGAUACCUGGAAUCAGCAAAAUUUAUAUGAAAUUUGUUAUGAGAGAUAUGUUCAUGUACAGAAUGGUAACCGAGGUGGUUCAAGUGUUUAUUAGCAGACAUUUUUGUUGAACUUGUGCAGGAUUUGAAUAAAUGAAACUUAACUCAGUCUAAAGCUGACUAUGGGCUCAAUGUGUAGUAAAAAGAGGAUUUUGAAAUAUGCAAAGACUCAUCAACAUUCAAAUGUGCAUAAGUGACAGUGAAAUGUCACUAUAUUUAGUAAAAAAAUCAGAUCAU
Long non-coding RNA from Mytilus trossulus (common blue mussel), 632 nucleotides. RefSeq lists it as uncharacterized. The record is from RefSeq and is a predicted model, not a curated record. The transcript is spliced from 3 exons. Lineage: Eukaryota; Metazoa; Mollusca; Bivalvia; Mytilida; Mytilidae.